Molecule: ribosomal RNA, 253 nt
Filed under: uncultured bacterium
Lineage: Bacteria
Description: partial 16S ribosomal RNA
Rfam family: Bacterial small subunit ribosomal RNA
Source: RNAcentral
UACGUAGGGAGCAAGUGUUGUUCGGAUUUACUGGGCGUAAAGAGCGUGUAGGCGGCCAGGUAGGUCGGUUGUGAAAACUGAAGGCUCAACCUUCAGAGGUCGACCGAAACCAUCUGGCUAGAGUCCGGGAGAGGAGAGUGGAAUUCCUGGUGUAGCGGUGAAAUGCGCAGAUAUCAGGAAGAACACCCGUGGCGAAAGCGGCUCUCUGGAACGGUACUGACGCUGAGACGCGAAAGCGUGGGGAGCGAACAGG